Molecule: ribosomal RNA, 321 nt
Filed under: Triticum aestivum (bread wheat)
Lineage: Eukaryota; Viridiplantae; Streptophyta; Magnoliopsida; Poales; Poaceae
Description: partial small subunit ribosomal RNA
Source: RNAcentral
AUGUCGGCGAGGUGGGGAAUGAAUAAUAUUCAUAUACAGAGCUUACACUGGGGGAUCAUUCACACAAUAGCUUUGCCUUCAUGCUUGGAUGGAACACUCCUUAAGGCUGAUAAUCGCAAGGAGAGGUCAGAGGAGAAGAAGCACGUGGUGGACAAGCACACACCGGGGAAGCACCUGACAUGGCAUCACACUUCUGUACACCGUGGCCAUCUGCACAUGAAUAGGCAAGAUUGUGCGCAGCAAGAGGCGUGCCACUAUUUACCUCCAGCUUUGAUCUUACAACUGAACCUGAAUACGAGUACUACUUACUUGGAUGGCUAA